Long non-coding RNA from Saccostrea cuccullata (small rock oyster), 486 nucleotides. RefSeq lists it as uncharacterized. NCBI's taxonomy places the organism in Eukaryota, Metazoa, Mollusca, Bivalvia, Ostreida, Ostreidae. The transcript is spliced from 3 exons. The record is from RefSeq and is a predicted model, not a curated record.
UUAUUCCCUUUCUGUGUGCAUCGUAUGUUUGUUCAAGAUGGUGUGAUAGAGCAAAAUUAGAGAAAAUUACGAAGAGCGAAACUGCAGUGGAACCAGAUGACGUCAAGUUAAUGGCGCACUGUAUUUUACGUUUGUAUACGUUAUACUUCAAGACAAACUUAGAAACUGGGAAAUAUUUUUGAUGAAGAAAAAGAAAAUUUACCUGUUUGAGUGAUUUGUUUUUGCCUGGCUUGAUGUGCGUCAAGACAAACUUAGAAACUAGGAAAUAUUUUGAUGGAGAAAAAGAAACUUUUCCUAUUUGAGUGAUUUGUUUUUGCCUUGCUUGAUGUGCUUCACAACAAACUUAGAAACUAGGAAAUAUUUUGAUGAAGAAAAAGAAAACUUACCUAUUUGAAGCAAUAUGAGCUGUAUCUUUGAGAAAUUUAUUUUGCUGGUAAAAUGUGCUAUUAUGAUUAAUUUGUAUGUAAUUUAAAUCCUUAUGACCAA